GAUGAACGCUAGCGGCAGGCUUAACACAUGCAAGUCGAGGGGCAGCGCGGAGUAGCAAUACUCUGGCGGCGACCGGCGAAAGGGUGAGUAACGCGUGAGCAACAUGCCCGAUACUGGAGGAUAGUCGAUGGAAACGUCGCGUAAUACUCCGUAACAACAGAGACCGCAUGAUUUUUGUUUAAUAGAUUUAUCGGUGUCGGAUUGGCUCGCGUCCCAUUAGGCAGUUGGCGGGGUAACGGCCCACCAAACCGACGAUCAGUAGGGGUUCUGAGAGGAAGGUCCCCCACAUUGGUACUGAGACACGGACCAAACUCC
RNAcentral lists this ribosomal RNA (315 nucleotides) under uncultured Porphyromonadaceae bacterium. RNAcentral describes it as "bacterial SSU rRNA". It matches the Rfam family "Bacterial small subunit ribosomal RNA", at positions 28 to 339 of the family's 1533-position model. Lineage: Bacteria; Pseudomonadati; Bacteroidota; Bacteroidia; Bacteroidales; Porphyromonadaceae. The record is from RNAcentral.